UGUGGGAGCGAGCCUGCUCGCGAUGGCGGCGGCAUGGUCAACAUUAAAGCCAGCUGAUCCACCGCCAUCGCGAGCAGGCUCGCUCCCACA
This 90-nucleotide unclassified non-coding RNA is filed under the name Pseudomonas corrugata. Lineage: Bacteria; Pseudomonadati; Pseudomonadota; Gammaproteobacteria; Pseudomonadales; Pseudomonadaceae. The record is from RNAcentral.